RNAcentral lists this ribosomal RNA (253 nucleotides) under uncultured bacterium. RNAcentral's name for it is "partial 16S ribosomal RNA". It matches the Rfam family "Bacterial small subunit ribosomal RNA", at positions 524 to 776 of the family's 1533-position model. The record is from RNAcentral.
GACGAAGGGGGCUAGCGUUGUUCGGAAUUACUGGGCGUAAAGCGUGUGUAGGUGGUUGCCACAGUCAGGUGUGAAAGCCUUGAGCUCAACUCUAGAAAUGCACUUGAUACUGGGCAGCUAGAGGACCGGAGAGGAUAGUGGAAUUCCCAGUGUAGUGGUGAAAUACGUAGAGAUUGGGAAGAACACCAGUGGCGAAGGCGGCUAUCUGGACGGUUUCUGACACUAAGACACGAAAGCGUGGGGAGCAAACAGG